AUGAUCCUAAUCACCAAAAAAAAAGAAAACUCUAACUCCUUUCCUAUAAAAAGGGUAGCUGUCAAAGCAGAAUCAUCAUCUCUCUUUUUCCAAUGCUGCACACAGUAGCUUCUACUACGUCUGCAAUUUUUUCUUCAUCUUUCUUCUUUCAUAUACCUUCGAAGAACUCAUUUGUGUUAAAAAGCCCACCAAGAGUGACUAAUUUAUUUUCCUU
RNAcentral lists this long non-coding RNA (214 nucleotides) under Carica papaya (papaya). Its description in RNAcentral is "long non-coding RNA (CPAP_LNC000344)". The record is from RNAcentral. Lineage: Eukaryota; Viridiplantae; Streptophyta; Magnoliopsida; Brassicales; Caricaceae.